GACAGAGGGUGCAAACGUUGUUCGGAAUUACUGGGCAUAAAGCGCACGUAGGUGGUCCGCUAAGUCGCGUGUGAAAUCCCCCGGCUCAACCGGGGAAAUGCGCGUGAUACUAGCGGGCUUGAGAUCGGGAGGGGUGAAUGGAACUCCAGGUGGAGCGGUGAAAUGCGUAGAUAUCUGGAGGAACACCGGUGGCGAAAGCGGUUCACUGGCCCGACACUGACACUGAGGUGCGAAAGCUAGGGUAGCAAACGGG
RNAcentral lists this ribosomal RNA (253 nucleotides) under uncultured bacterium. Its description in RNAcentral is "partial 16S ribosomal RNA". It matches the Rfam family "Bacterial small subunit ribosomal RNA", at positions 524 to 776 of the family's 1533-position model. The record is from RNAcentral.